RNAcentral lists this transfer RNA (67 nucleotides) under Nasutitermes neoparvus. RNAcentral describes it as "tRNA-Leu". Lineage: Eukaryota; Metazoa; Arthropoda; Insecta; Blattodea; Termitidae. The record is from RNAcentral.
UCUAACGUGGCAGAUAAGUGCGGUGGAUUUAAGCUCAACCAAUAAAGUUUGUAAACUUUCAUUAGAA